ACGCACGCUGGCGGCGUGCUUCACACAUGCCAGUCGAACGGUGAAGCGCCUUCCUUUUUGGUGGGUGUGGAUGAGUGGCGAACGGGUGAGUAACACGUGAGUAACCUGCCCCCUUCUUCUGGAUAACCGCAUGAAAGUGUGGCUAAUACGGGAUAUUCUGGGUCUGUCGCAUGAUGGGUCUGGGAAAGAUAUUGUUUCGGUGGGGGAUGGGCUCGCGGCCUAUCAGCUUGUUGGUGGGGUGAUGGCCUACCAAGGCGGUGACGGGUAGCCGGCCUGAGAGGGUGGACGGUCACACUGGGACUGAGACACGGCCCAGACUCCUACGGGAGGCAGCAGUGGGGAAUAUUGCACAAUGGGCGCAAGCCUGAUGCAGCGACGCCGCGUGAGGGAUGGAGGCCUUCGGGUUGUGAACCUCUUUCGCCAGUGAAGCAGGCCUGCCUCGUUUGUGGGUGGGUUGACGGUAGCUGGAUAAGAAGCGCCGGCCAACUACGUG
RNAcentral lists this ribosomal RNA (493 nucleotides) under uncultured bacterium. Its description in RNAcentral is "partial 16S ribosomal RNA". It matches the Rfam family "Bacterial small subunit ribosomal RNA", at positions 29 to 507 of the family's 1533-position model. The record is from RNAcentral.